ACACAUUAUGAUCUUUAUCAUAAUAUCAUCGAAAUUCUUUUCGAUGGGUUGGAAUAAUUCCAACACUGCCCAUUGAGAAUCAUCGAUCAUCAGGAUAAUACUCGUGGGUCUCACAAUCUACCAAUGACACCUAGCAGUAUGUAGUGGCAAUCCAGUAAAAUGAAAGUAUGAACCUCUAGAUCAGUUAUCAUAUGAUUCACUCCUUCUAUCAAAAGUUUAGACUUGACGGAGAUCACGGAUGACUCAUCAAAUUCCAUCGCCAGUCAUAUGCAAGAUUAGCUUGACUUCAGUUAACUUGUGAAUCUCAUAGAAACUCUUUUUCAAAAUUCACUCUUGCUUUGGCCAAAG
Molecule: long non-coding RNA, 348 nt
Filed under: Elaeis guineensis (African oil palm)
Lineage: Eukaryota; Viridiplantae; Streptophyta; Magnoliopsida; Arecales; Arecaceae
Description: long non-coding RNA (EGUI_LNC063957)
Source: RNAcentral